UGCAGCGACGCCGCGUGAGGGAUGACGGCCUUCGGGUUGUAAACCUCUUUCAGCAGGGACGAAGCGUAAGUGACGGUACCUGCAGAAGAAGCACCGGCCAACUACGUGCCAGCAGCCGCGGUAAGACGUAGGGUGCGAGCGUUGUCCGGAUUUAUUGGGCGUAAAGAGCUCGUAGGCGGCUUGUCGCGUCGACCGUGAAAACUUGGGGCUCAACCCCAAGCCUGCGGUCGAUACGGGCAGGCUAGAGUUCGGUAGGGGAGACUGGAAUUCCUGGUGUAGCGGUGAAAUGCGCAGAUAUCAAGAGGAACACCGGUGGCGAAGGCGGGUCUCUGGGCCGAUACUGACGCUGAGGAGCGAAAGCGUGGGGAGCGAACAGGAUUAGAUACCCUGGUAGUCCACGCUGUAAACGUUGGGCGCUAGGUGUGGGGGGCCUCUCCGGUUCUCUGUGCCGCAGCUAACGCAUUAAGCGCCCCGCCUGGGGAGUACGGCCGCAAGGCUAAAACUCAAAGGAAUUGACGGGGGCCCGCACAAGCGGCGGAGCAUGCGGAUUAAUUCGAUGCAACGCGAAGAACCUUACCUGGGUUUGACAUGGCCGCAAAACUUGCAGAGAUGUAAGGUCCUUCGGGGG
RNAcentral lists this ribosomal RNA (628 nucleotides) under Micromonospora sp. Ri3Ps_5428. RNAcentral describes it as "bacterial SSU rRNA". It matches the Rfam family "Bacterial small subunit ribosomal RNA", at positions 387 to 1026 of the family's 1533-position model. Lineage: Bacteria; Bacillati; Actinomycetota; Actinomycetes; Micromonosporales; Micromonosporaceae. The record is from RNAcentral.